GGAUGCGAUCAUACCAGCACUAACGCACCGGAUCCCAUCAGAACUCCGAAGUUAAGCGUGCUUGGGCGAGAGAGUACUAGGAUUGGUGACCCCAUUGGGAAGUCCUCGUGUUGCAUCCC
RNAcentral lists this ribosomal RNA (119 nucleotides) under Solanum tuberosum (potato). The record is from RNAcentral. Lineage: Eukaryota; Viridiplantae; Streptophyta; Magnoliopsida; Solanales; Solanaceae.